This is a non-coding RNA of Pelobates cultripes (western spadefoot toad), 338 nucleotides long. The record is from the annotation of a GenBank genome assembly. Lineage: Eukaryota; Metazoa; Chordata; Amphibia; Anura; Pelobatidae.
AUGUCCUGAUGUACAAUAGUCCAGAGAAUAGUGCACUUUAGAUAAUAAAUAGGUGGAUCUCACCAAGUUGGAUAUCCAGAUGGAUUGUAGCCUUAGUAGCAACUGGAAAAAAUGAAGACUCUGUGAAGAAUGGAGAAGUGUCUAUUGGAGGGUUUUUAAACCUGCUGAAUUCCUGUUGUGCGCUGAAAAGAGGACUCAAUAAAGGUGUCAGAUGUGGUCUUCGAAGGGACGUGGAUGUCCCGAGCGCGCAGCCCAUGUACUGUGACGGCACUCUCAUUGCGGAUAACUCCGAUCUGAUACACAGCAGCAACGACUUUGAGGGUGACAUACGAGGACCA